AAUGGAAUAGCUGGGUCAAAUGGUCGUUCCAUUCCAAGUUUUCUGAGGAAUCUCCAUACUGCUUUCCAAAGUGGUGGCUCCAAUUUGCAGUCCCACCAGCAAA
Molecule: microRNA precursor, 103 nt
Filed under: Marmota monax (woodchuck)
Lineage: Eukaryota; Metazoa; Chordata; Mammalia; Rodentia; Sciuridae
Source: RNAcentral